GGAAGAGCUAAAAUCACCUCCCGCUGACUAGAUGAAGAGGAGCUCAACCGUUGGGGUUUGUCAGAACAAGAAUUAUUUCCCUUCAACGACUCCACACAUCGUGGAAAAGAAGGGGACAAUCCUUUCAUCCUCGUAAACUUAGUGUUACCGUUUGAACAGUAAUUUGGAUUGUGGUGGUGCCCAGGUGCCUCUCUCUUUUCACAUUCUCCCCCUGAGCCAGCACUCUCAGACCACCUAACACUAGUUCUAUUAUCCAAGCUAGCUGGUUCCUGUGACUGGCUUAAUGUCUUAUCAUGCACUUGAGAUUCUUUAU
Molecule: unclassified non-coding RNA, 313 nt
Filed under: Hevea brasiliensis (rubber tree)
Lineage: Eukaryota; Viridiplantae; Streptophyta; Magnoliopsida; Malpighiales; Euphorbiaceae
Source: RNAcentral